UAUGAAGUUUUCUGAUUUUUAAUUAUUUAAUUAAGAUUUGAAAAUAUUAUAUUACUUUUGAUUCUUACAACCUAAUUUUUUUUCGUGUUACUUUUCAAAAAAUUAUAUUUUAGCAUCUAUGAUUUUAUCUUUUACAAAAUUUGGAAUAUUAUCAUUUUAAGUUUUUAAUAUUUAUUUUCAAUUUGUUACUUGAUCAAGAAAAAAUACACAACUAUUUUUUAAUUUGAAAGAUUAUAUGACUUUUGAAUUUGUUUGUUACUAAAUCAAUUCAUUAUUUUAUUAAAAUAUAUUUGAAUUUUUGGUAAGAUUUUUUAAAAUAUUUGUUUUCAUGAGAUUUUGUUAUAAUUAAAAUAAAUAUUAAAUUUAAAAUGAAAUUUAAUUUUUCAUUAAUAUCUUUAAUUAAUUAUUAAAAUUUCAUAUU
Molecule: long non-coding RNA, 421 nt
Filed under: Brassica napus (rape)
Lineage: Eukaryota; Viridiplantae; Streptophyta; Magnoliopsida; Brassicales; Brassicaceae
Description: long non-coding RNA (BNAP_LNC012433)
Source: RNAcentral